This 943-nucleotide ribosomal RNA is filed under the name Neogoniolithon frutescens. RNAcentral's name for it is "eukaryotic LSU rRNA". It matches the Rfam family "Eukaryotic large subunit ribosomal RNA", at positions 1055 to 2017 of the family's 3401-position model. The record is from RNAcentral. Lineage: Eukaryota; Rhodophyta; Florideophyceae; Corallinales; Spongitidaceae.
UUCUCAAACUUUAAAUGCGCAAGAUGAGAAGUGUUGCGUACCGAACUCUCUAAGAAAACAUCGGCUCUGUGGGCCACUUUUGGUAAGCAGAACUGGCGAUAUGGGAUGAACCAUAAGUUUGGUUAAGGAGUCAAACUCAUCGCUUAUAGACCCCACAAAAGGUGUUGGUUCAUCCAGACAGCAGGACGGUGGCCAUGGAAGUCGGAAUCCGCUAAGGAGUGUGUAACAACUCACCUGCCGAAUGAACUAGCCCUGAAAAUGGAUGACGCUUAAGCGGUGGUCCGACACCAAACCAUUUUUUGAAAAUACAAAAACACGCAAAAAAUGAGUAAGAGGGCGUGGUGGUCCGGUUUUGAAGGCAAAGACGCAAGUCUAGCUUGAACGGCCACUAGUGCAGAUCUUGGUGGUAGUAGCAAAUAUUCAAACGAGAACCUUGAAGGAUGAAGCGAGGAAGGGUUUCAUGCGAACAUUGAUUGGGCAUGAGUGAGUCGUUCCUAAGCCGGGUGGUAAUCGUUCUUCGAUCGGCGAAAGGGAAGCAGGUUAAAAUUCCUGCACACGGAUGUGAAAGUGGUGACACACAUUGAGAUGGAGACGUUAGCGGUGGCGCUGGGCAGAGUUUUCUUUUCUGUUUGACUUGUUCGCGCACCCUGUGGAAUCCGAUUAUCGGGAGAUACAGGUGCCAAUGGGCAGAGCGUCGGGGCAUCCCCGGCGUCCAGAACGCCGCCGUUAGCCCUUGAAAAUCUAUCUGCGAUGAUUUCACGCCGUGGCGUACCGAUAACCGCAUCAGGUCCUCAAGGUGAACAGCCUCUAUUCAAUAUGAACAAUGCAGGUAAGGGAAGUCGGCAAAAUAGACCCGUAACUUUGGGAAAAGGGUUGGCUCUAGUGGAGUGGAGGAUUUUUGGUGUUUGAUGAACUGGCCGCGUGAUAUACGGAGGGUUUGGUG